Molecule: long non-coding RNA, 903 nt
Organism: Pararge aegeria (speckled wood butterfly)
Lineage: Eukaryota; Metazoa; Arthropoda; Insecta; Lepidoptera; Nymphalidae
Exons: 5
Source: RefSeq, a predicted model, not a curated record
AGCUAUUUAAAAAAAACAUGUUGAUCUCUAAAAGAAUAAUAAAUCUAUCCUAUGGGAACUGUACAUGACGGGAUGCAACAUAGCCUAUAUGCUAUUCCAGACUGUACUUAAUCUCAUUCAGAAAAUGUUCUCUGACAUUGCCUACAUGUUUUGAGAGCCUACAAGAUGCUGUAGUGAGUUAUGUACAAACAAUAUUUGUAUAAUAAUAUGAAGGUCAAGGGUUACAAUUCUUCAGCAGUAAUGUGUCCAGCAAAUGAAGAUCUUUAAUAAUUGUUAAUGGUUUUAGAAACUUACAAAGAUGCUGUGCCUUGCGAUUUCUGUUAGAUCUCAGCUCCAUGCACAGUCAAUAUCUAAGGCGAGGUCACUCAUCAAGGAUAUUUAUGUUUCAUCCCUACCUAUAUGUGGUGUAGUUUUGACCAUAUACUCCACAAGCCUUUAAUACAGUAGUUCUCACAACCCUAAGAGAUUCGAGCCUAUAUAUAUUCCAUUUAACCGACUUGCAAAAUGGAGGCGGUUCUCAAUUCAGUUUUAUUAAAAAAUGAACCGACUCUGUUAUACAGAUAAAAAUAAAUAAAUAUCUUCUCCAAAAUUUUUAAGUUUGCCAACUAAAAUGUAGAUACUACUGGUUCUUUUCUUGCUUCUAUACAAAAGUUACCUAUACGAAGUAUAUGAUCUAACAUAGUAACUUUCUACAUUUUACUUGCUUUUUAGUUUUAUAACAAAGUCGGUUCUUCUUUGUUAAAUAAAUUUUCCUUAUCUGUCUUUUUAUGUCAGAAAUCUUUUACUUUUUUUAAUUCUGCCUCAUCCUCUGAUAGGACCUGGCAUUAAAUAAUAUGUAUGCGAAUAUAAAAAUUCAGGCAUGUAGAAAUUAUAUAGUAAACUAUUUUUGUAAUAAAGUUCUUA